Molecule: unclassified non-coding RNA, 329 nt
Filed under: soil metagenome
Description: partial contains 5.8S ribosomal RNA, internal transcribed spacer 2, and large subunit ribosomal RNA
Rfam family: 5.8S ribosomal RNA (bases 1-120)
Source: RNAcentral
GAUGAAGAACGUAGCGAAAUGCGAUAAGUAAUGUGAAUUGCAGAAUUCAGUGAAUCAUCGAAUCUUUGAACGCACAUUGCGCCCUAUGGUAUUCCGGGGGGCAUGCCUGUUCGAGCGUCAUUAUAACCACUCAAGCUUUCGCUUGGUAUUGGGGCUCGCGGUUCCGCGGCCCCUAAAAUCAGUGGCGGUGCCUGUCGGCUCUACGCGUAGUAAUACUCCUCGCGAUUGAGUCCGGUAGGUCUACUUGCCAGCAACCCCCAAUUUUUACAGGUUGACCUCGGAUCAGGUAGGGAUACCCGCUGAACUUAAGCAUAUCAAUAAGCGGAGGA